This 305-nucleotide ribosomal RNA is filed under the name uncultured bacterium. RNAcentral's name for it is "bacterial SSU rRNA". It matches the Rfam family "Bacterial small subunit ribosomal RNA", at positions 338 to 639 of the family's 1533-position model. The record is from RNAcentral.
CCUACGGGGGGCAGCAGUGAGGAAUAUUGGUCAAUGGGCGGAAGCCUGAACCAGCCAAGUCGCGUGAGGGAAUAAGGCCCUACGGGUCGUAAACCUCUUUUGCCGGGGAGCAAGGGCGGGGACGUGUCCCGGCCCGGAGAGUACCCGGAGAAAAAGCAUCGGCUAACUCCGUGCCAGCAGCCGCGGUAAUACGGAGGAUGCAAGCGUUGUCCGGAAUCAUUGGGCGUAAAGAGUUCGUAGGCGGUAUGUUAAGUCUGGUGUUAAAUGCAGAAGCUCAACUUCUGUUCGGCACUGGAUACUGGCAA